CAUUGGUUCACAUUUCAUAUUCAAGUCUGUCUGAAUGUGAAAAGAAAGGUGAGUUUAUGGGUUGAUUUAAUAUUUCUGUGCCAUUAUGUCAAGAAGAUCCCUUGGAGAAGGGAAUGGCAACCCACUCCAAUAUUCUUGCCUAAGAAAUCCCAUGGGCAGAGGAGCCUGGCGGGCUACAGUCUUUGGGAUUGCAGAGUCGGACACGCCCGAGUGACUAGCACUUUGACUUUGGAAUGGUUUUCACAAAACAGCAGAGCAAGGUCCCAGAUCCUUCUGUUGGCAACAAGGUAGUCACGUCGGAAGAACAUUUUCUUUCUUUUUUUUUUUGGCUGCACUGUGCAACUUUUGGGGUCUUAGUUUCCUGACCAGGUACUGAACCCAGGCCCUAGGCAAUGAAAGCACAGAAUCCCAACCACUGGACCACCAUGGAAUUCCUCCAGUGAACAUUUUCAUGGUAUGGAUUCAACUACGUGUCCACUCAGCAAAGAAAGAAUGUCAACAGUUUUGUCAGUGCCUGCCGUUUUGCUUUCUGCUUUUCAGUUGUUUAGACAUAUGUUCUGUGUGUGUGUUAGGAAAGUGGUACAGGGAGGUUUGUGUUUCCACAGCCCAGUUUCAGUUCCCGUGUGCCCGUCACGGUGGGUGUAUCUCAUCUUCCUGUGUGUGGUUCUAGUGUUGAAGAUAGGUGUUGUCCAUAAAAGUGGCCCAUUUCAAAGCCAGUCACAGAAUUCACCUGCUGUUUAACUGGAAAAAACAAACCAGCCAGCAGUCUCUUCCACUGCUUCUGGAAAAAACUGCCUCCGUUAAGACGUACUGACAGAUGCUGUCUGGAUCUCGGUCACAACCCAUACCCGAUGGAAGCUGAAAGGCUCUCCCUUCUCCAGAGUCCACUUCGUCUUCAGUCCACACAAGGGGGGCCCCUUUUGCCCCAAGGAUGUCUUCAUGGAGCCUCAUGUUAUAGCAUUCUUAUUAUUUAAAUAGAGGGUGUCAUUCAGAGAAGAGAACAAGAGCUGUUGCUCAAAUCCUGGCUUUUGUUCCCAGCACCCAAAUUAGAGCUUGUGCCCAACUCUGAGCCAUCACCGCAGCCAGGAAAACAGGAUGGUCUUCAACCUACCUGGGUCCUUUCUGGAGCUCAGCAUGCCUAUGUGACUGAAAGGGUAAACGGCCCAAUGGAAAACCAGGGUCUCAAUAUAGCA
Molecule: long non-coding RNA, 1193 nt
Organism: Ovis aries (sheep)
Lineage: Eukaryota; Metazoa; Chordata; Mammalia; Artiodactyla; Bovidae
Source: Ensembl